GAUUAGCUAGUUGGUGGGGUAAAGGCCUACCAAGGCGACGAUCAGUAGCGGGUCUGAGAGGAUGAUUCGCCACACUGGGACUGAGACACGGCCCAGACUCCUACGGGAGGCAGCAGUGGGGAAUUUUGGACAAUGGGGGCAACCCUGAUCCAGCCAUUCCGCGUGAGUGAAGAAGGCCUUCGGGUUGUAAAGCUCUUUCAGCUGGAACGAAACGGUACGCGCUAACAUCGCGUGCUAAUGACGGUACCGGCAGAAGAAGCACCGGCUAACUACGUGCCAGCAGCCGCGGUAAUACGUAGGGUGCGAGCGUUAAUCGGAAUUACUGGGCGUAAAGCGUGCGCAGGCGGAUUGUUAAGCAAGACGUGAAAUCCCCGGGCUUAACCUGGGAAUGGCGUUUUGAACUGGCAGUCUAGAGUGCGUCAGAGGGGGGUGGAAUUCCACGUGUAGCAGUGAAAUGCGUAGAGAUGUGGAGGAACACCGAUGGCGAAGGCAGCCCCCUGGGAUGACACUGACGCUCAUGUACGAAAGCGUGGGUAGCAAACAGGAUUAGAUACCCUGGUAGUCCACGCCCUAAACGAUGUCAACUGGUUGUUGGGGGAGUGAAAUCCCUUAGUAACGAAGCUAACGCGUGAAGUGACCGCCU
RNAcentral lists this ribosomal RNA (643 nucleotides) under uncultured bacterium. RNAcentral describes it as "bacterial SSU rRNA". It matches the Rfam family "Bacterial small subunit ribosomal RNA", at positions 239 to 874 of the family's 1533-position model. The record is from RNAcentral.